Humulus lupulus (European hop) is the source of this 1907-nucleotide long non-coding RNA. RefSeq lists it as uncharacterized. The transcript has 3 exons. The record is from RefSeq and is a predicted model, not a curated record. Lineage: Eukaryota; Viridiplantae; Streptophyta; Magnoliopsida; Rosales; Cannabaceae.
CUGCUCUUCUUCAUCUUCUUCUUCAGUUCAACCGAUCUCUCUCUGUCUCGUUUUUGAAGGCAAUAGACCGGUUUAAUGAUCUUGUUGUUUCAAUAUAUGUUACUGCUUGUCAUAUCCUUACAAUAUUGUGAAUUGAAGUUUUUUUUUCAACUUAUUAUUUAUAAAUGUUAUGAGUUUAUUUGUAGUGAUUAUAUUGGUUUAAUUAAAGGUAGAUGGGCUCAGUUAUUCUCUUUUCUCACCUGAGUUUUGCUACUCAAAGUCUCAAAAUUGAUUGAUACAAAGACAUAGUAGAAUAGGGUUUUUGUUUUUUGAUUCCUCGUCUUUCUUUGGGAAAACAAACUGAUUAUUUUGUCCUAUACAACACAAUAGUACAGUAGGUGGUUUCAUUCCCUCUUUCAGUAGUAUCAUCACUUAAAAAAAAAAUUGUUUGUGCAUUAUGUCGAAGCAAAUAUUAUUCUUACUUACCAUGGAAUGUCCAGACCCGACGAUUGCUGCAGAAUAAGAGUCAAUUAUUAUAUUUAUAUACCCCUCUUGAAGAGUAUCAGAACAGAAACACCUUAAUCAUAUUUGAACUAUUGAAACUUGUAUGUAUUUUCUUUUCUUUCUUCUGCUUGACUUGUUUUGGCUCUGACUGUUUUCUUUAGUUUCCUUUGAGUUUCAAUACUUAUUGGUAUGGAGCUUUAUUGGGUCAAAACUUGAUAGGUCUGUUUCCUAUUCUAUUACUAAGAAUGGUAAAGCUGAUACUGAUAUUGAUUGAUAGUAAGAUUUUCUCCUGUUCUUAUUUUGUCUCAUAUGCAUUCUGAUUUGGUUGCUUAAUUGGUUAUGGUCAUUCUUGCUAAUCAAUUGAGUUGAGGAUUUUAAACUUUCAGGGAGCAAAGAAUCAGAAAGAAAAAAAUAAAAAGAUUUUGCAACAACAAUCUACUGUAGUAAUCUUGUUAUUCACUUAUUGUUAGACUUCAUUUUUUUUAUUAUCUUUUCUUUAGUCCAUUAUCUCUUUUACUAGAUUUCAUGGGACUGUACCUAUGUAUGAUUAGGUACCAAAUCAUGUUUGGAUAUAUUAUAAUGAAUUCAUACAAAGAUGAGUUUAUUUGUAGUGGUCAUAUUGGUUUAAUUAUAGGUAGUAGUCUCAUUUUUGGUCUCUUGAACCUCGUUAAUUCAUUUUAAUGGAAUCUUAUGAUGUUUUUCUCAACUUUCUCUAGUCAAUGAAAUCUUUUAUUGAACAUGAUAAAGAAGCAGAAUAGGUUGUUUGUUUGUCUUUUUCUCAUUAGUUUUAUUUUUCCUUGUUUUAAAAUGAUCAUUUAUUAACUUAACGAUACAACUUAAUAACAUUAUCUUCAUUACGUGGAUAUACCAUCAAACUUGGAAAUAUGAAUGCUCUAGUUUUAUAUAACUAUCUAUAUAUUUGGGAAAUAAUUGCAUAUUCUCGAUACUUGCCUCAAAUUCAACACUGCUAGAAAUAAUUAGUUCAUACCAAUUCAUUUAUUAUUAUGUUAUUGCCUGAAAUUAGAUGAAAUGCUUCUUGCACUAGUGUUUUUGUUUCUUGUUCUCUUUAACUAAAAGCAUACAUACACGACUGAUGCUACUUCAUGAUUCCCAGAAUGAUGAUGGCAUAAAGAGCUUUUUCCAAGAGGUUCAUGAACUCUAUAUAAGGGUAAAGGGAAGGAAAAACUUGGCCAGCCUUGAGUGGAGAGCUUGGGCGAUGUGAUGUACAUGCAGGGCCGCUUGACCGCCACGGUCAAGGAGUUCUCAGAGGGACUAGGGGUUUACCCUAUUUUUGCCGCUUAGGGCGGCGGGGAUUGUAUAUUUGGAACUGUAGCAACUCUUUUGUAACAUGAACUACUUGUAAACAUUUUAAAAAGGCUCAUGAGCAGUUUAUUUACUUAAUGAAAAGUGCCCUUUCCUUUUUA